UACGAAGGGGGCUAGCGCUGUUCGGAUUUACUGGGCGUAAGGCGCGUGUAGGCGGGCCGUUAAGAUGGGGGUGAAAGCCCGGAGCUCAACCCCGGAAUUGCCUUCAUGACUGGCGGCCUGGACUCAAGGAGAGGCAAGUGGAAUUGCGAGUGUAGAGGUGAAAUUCGUAGAUAUUCGCAGGAACGCCAGUGGCGAAGGCGACUUGCUGGACUUGUAGUGACGCUGAGACGCGAAAGCGUGGGGAGCAAUCAGG
This 253-nucleotide ribosomal RNA is filed under the name uncultured bacterium. RNAcentral's name for it is "partial 16S ribosomal RNA". It matches the Rfam family "Bacterial small subunit ribosomal RNA", at positions 524 to 776 of the family's 1533-position model. The record is from RNAcentral.